This 274-nucleotide ribosomal RNA is filed under the name uncultured bacterium. RNAcentral's name for it is "partial 16S ribosomal RNA". It matches the Rfam family "Bacterial small subunit ribosomal RNA", at positions 523 to 796 of the family's 1533-position model. The record is from RNAcentral.
AUACAGAGGGUGCAAGCGUUAAUCGGAAUUACUGGGCGUAAAGCGCGCGUAGGCGGUUUAAUCAGUCGGAUGUGAAAGCCCCGGGCUCAACCUGGGAACUGCAUUCGAUACUGUUAAGCUAGAGUAUGGUAGAGGGAAGUGGAAUUCCAGGUGUAGCGGUGAAAUGCGUAGAUAUCUGGGGGAACAUCAGUGGCGAAGGCGACUUCCUGGACCAAUACUGACGCUGAGGUGCGAAAGCGUGGGGAGCAAACAGGAUUAGAUACCCUAGUAGUCC